CCAUUUGCCUCUUAAUUAGAGGCUAGUAUGAAUGGUUGAACGAAAUACGUACUGUCUCAUUCUAAAAAUUUUAAAAAUUUAGCUUUCUAGUUAAAAGGCUUGAAUAGUAUUAGAGGACGAGAAGACCCUAUAGAACUUUAUAGAAUAAUUUAUUAAUUUAAAUAGUAAAAAAUUUUUUAUUUAUAAAUAGUUUUAUUUUGUUGGGGUGACAGGGAAAUAAACCAAACUUUUUUAAUUUUAAAACAUUGAUUUAUGAAUAUUUGAUCUAUUAUUAGUGAUUAUUAGAAUAAGUUACCUUAGGGAUAACAGCGUAAUUUUAUUAGAGAGUUCAAAUCGAUAAUAAAGUUUGCGACCUCGAUGUUGAAUUAAAGAAAUUUUAGAGUGCAGAAGCUUUAAGUAAUAGGUCCUG
Molecule: ribosomal RNA, 409 nt
Filed under: Myrmeleon obscurus
Lineage: Eukaryota; Metazoa; Arthropoda; Insecta; Neuroptera; Myrmeleontidae
Description: partial 16S ribosomal RNA
Rfam family: Archaeal large subunit ribosomal RNA
Source: RNAcentral